UCGUCUUUUAUUCUCCAGGUUUCUGGUUUCUCGUGUUUUAUUCUCCAUGUUUCUGGUUCCUCGUGUUUUAUUUCUGGUUCCUCGUCUUUUAUUCUCCGGGUUUCUGGUUCCUCGUGUUUUAUCCAGGUUUGUGGUUCCUCGAGUUUUAUUCUCCGGGUUUCUGGUUCCUCGAGGACAUGUACGUCUGGCCGACGUCGGCCCAAUAUCGAAACGUCGGCCUCUAUACCUAAAACAUCUAUAAAACAUCGGCCUGGCGGAGGCCGAUAUAAUUUGGUCAGUGCUCUGUUCUCCAGCUCAUCAAUCGUCGGCCCUGAGUUGGUUCACGAUCGCGGGCCGAUGCCGCGCUUCUCUGUGUGCGCGUGCCCAGUAUUCGUCUCUUUUAGCCACCCAGAGAGAGAGAAGAGGAUAAUCCCAGCGACAUCUGUGGCUCUGAGGCUUUCAGAAAUAAUCCGCUGAAAUAAUAUGGUGAGCUAUUGUUGCUGUUGCUUCUGAACUACAAAAUGAUUUUUAAAUUUAUUAUUGAAUGAGACUGUACAUUAUAAAUGUAAUGCUUUAACUCUAGAUGUUUGUGUAAAUGCUGUGUGUGCGUUGAGUCCUGCGCUAGUGGGGAGCAGAGUUGCCAUGGAAACGGGGCAUCAACACAAAAACCGUUACUGGCAAGCAGUAAUCUCCGUCUCUAGCUGCAGUUUACACUGUUUUGGAAACGGUUUAGUUUCUUCGGAAAAGUCCGUUAGCAUCUUAGCAGUUUUCAGAUGUUUGUUUGUGUAAAUGCUGUGUGCGCGUUGAGUCCUGCGCGAGCGGGGAGCAGAGUUGCCAUGGAAACGGGGCGUCAACACAAAAACCGUUACUGGCAAGCAGUAAUCUCCGUCUCUCGCUGCAGUUUACACUGUUUUGGGAGGACAGAAAUAAACUCUACAGAACAGAAGUGAA
This is a long non-coding RNA of Carassius auratus (goldfish), 930 nucleotides long. RefSeq lists it as uncharacterized. The transcript has 5 exons. The record is from RefSeq and is a predicted model, not a curated record. NCBI's taxonomy places the organism in Eukaryota, Metazoa, Chordata, Actinopteri, Cypriniformes, Cyprinidae.